ACGUGUUAAAAAUUAACAUUAUUUUAAUACUACAGGAACUAUACCUAAAAAAAUUCGAUACUAAUUAACAACUGUUAACAAUACUUACAUAAAUAAUAACUGUUGUAACUAGUCAGUUUAUGUAAAAGUUAGCUUUGUAACAUUAUAUUGUUAUAAAAUAUUAUUAUAAUAUUGCAAAAGAAUAAAAGAACAUUGUGCAACGUUCCAAUUGCAACGUUCAAGUGCUGCUUUUUGCUUUUGGCCAACGUUCUGAUGCUAACGGCCAAUUUCUUUUUGUUGCAACGGUCCUUUGCAUUUCCUAUAAAUAUAGUAUCUCAUUUCUUACAUAAACAAAUCUUCAAUCUCUACUUUCUCUCUUAAAAUCUUUCUCCUUCUCUCCUUUUCGAUUUUGUCAGCAAUUCUUACAACACUUUGUUCAUCGUGUCUCUGAAUCCAUCAAGCUUUCAGCUUCUUGGUGACCUCUCCGACGUCUAAAUGGACGUGGCAAUCACUGUUGUCCAUUAAGCAUGGAUUCCGAUUUCAUGAACCUUAAAAAAAGAUCAAUGUUGGAAGGUACGAGAUUCAUGUCCUAUCAUAGUAACGUGAUAUUACAAUCAUGCUGAACCGAAAUUAUUUACACAGGACACAAGAUUUACCAUUAAAUGUUAUACCUGCACACUUGGAAUUUGAUGAGCAGAUCAUCUCACCUCAUUUUGUGCUUCACUUACUACAAAUAACUUCUCAUCGUUGUUAAUCAUGUCUACGUAAAGAACUUUUCCACCUUUCUUCUGACAAAAUGUAGGAAUUGUUCCUAGUUUCCAAAUGUUUCCCUGCUUCCUUUAUAAGUUCUUCAAUGCUUUGUGGAACCCAUAGGAGUGUUGCAUUAUGUGAGAGUUAAAAACCAGGAAAAGAAAAAGGAUAAACAUAAGAAUCGUGAAAGGAGUGUUGCAUCAUGUGAGAGUCAAAAACCAGGAAAAGAAAAAAGAUAAACAUAAGAACCCAUGUUAAAGUUUUAAAGUUAAAAUAAAAAAUUAUUUAAUUUCUUAAGUCUGAGUUGUCAGUAAAGGGUCCACAAAAAUGGAGAAAUGGAGAGAACCCAAAAUUAGUUUUUUCAUUAAAGAUGACCUUAGCUGUACCAAUAAUUAUAUAUUCUGACUUACAUGCAUCAUCAUAACUUGUGAUAUUGAUAUUUCUGGCUUGAGAAAUCUGUGUGAUCUAUUCUUUGAAUGUGAACUUAAAAGCUUAACUCAAUCACACUAAAUUGAUUUGUGUGCUGAGGAUUUUCCAAGUUUUAGAAGAACUACUUAGCAUUUAUCUUUAGUUGAACGCACGAUGUCAUCCUCCUAAGAGAUUAUAGCUCGUUGGUUGCACAGGAUGAUGUUUCACUCAACCUUUUUGGUUAGCUUCUUCACAACAAAUUCUGAUAAAUGGUAUUAAGGCAGAAUAGUGGUAUCACAAUUUAGGAGACUCUCCUAUGGUAAUGUAGGUGGUUUAACAAUGAACUUAGUAUAAAUUUUGUUUCACUGAACUUUGAAAAAUUGACUUCUAUGAGCACUACAACCAAAGGUAGACCUUAUUGAGACAUUUACAACCAACUCUAAUAAAUAGGUUACAAUUAAGGUGAGCUGGAGGUGAUUGCUAUUAUGGGUUUCCAACACCCUAGCACUCAUUCCCUAGUGAUGGGCUUGGAGCUUGACUAGCGAUCCCGAUCACUUAAGUCUUCUAGUGAGCAAAUCACUAGCAAUCCCGGGGCGGUUAUCUAAUUGCACGAAGAUAGAAACUUAAAGCUUACAGAUCGCACAAGAUAGUUGAAGCAAAAGGGAAACGAAGCCAAAAUUCAUCACAGAUGCUUUUACAAACGAAACAAAACAGUAAAAAAUAGAGUCCCAAGUACAAUAUAGAAAACAAGACAAAAGAAAGUUACAACCAAACAUCAAAAGCUAAGUGUCACUAGGAGCAGUUUCCUCAACAGGAGCGAUGACAUUCUGAUCGGGUUGGGGGGAGAUGUCUCUUCAGGCUCGGGAAGGGCAAGAACAACUAAUUGAAAUCGGAGAGAAUUUGGAAGAAGUAAUGGCAUUGAGAUAUACCUUGUUCAAACCCCCUGAGAUGUUCAUUGCAGAUCUCAUUCCCCAAGGCUUUGUUCUCGACAAUCAUUUUCUCCUGAGUGGCAACUAGAGCAUCCCUUUCUCAGGUCAAAUCUGUUAUUUUCGAAGCAUUAUUCUGCAUAUCCAACUUCAGGCCCUCAUUAGCUUUCUUCAUUUCCUCAUUUUGGUUGUUGAAGCUGUCGACCGACAUGUUGAAGCUGUCGACCGACACUCCGCUCUUUGGCUAAGGUUGCAGAAUAAUUCUGCCUGCCACUCUUCCUCAGCAGCCUUUUGAAGCUCUUCUAUGCGUAGGUUUAACUCUUCGUUGGAUUUUUUAGCCUUCUCUAAAUCCAGCCGAGCCAAUUCCAACUCCUCGGCAAUAAUGGAAUUAGUAGAACCAGCUACAUAGGCUAAACAUAAGUUAGCUCGGACGUUUAGCUCGUAUAUUCACUGCGGUCAUCCCGUGAAAAAGUUUUUUCUCUUCUGGAUUAAGGCGGUAUUCCAGGCGAUCCGCCAAGUGCACACUGUGGUCAAACAACCAACAGAGGGCCUUCGUGAGAGUUCUUCUCUUCUUAUCUUUUGUAGCUUUUCUUUUUUUUCCCCUUGUUGAAGAGAAACAUCAUCAAGAGAAGCUUGGAAGACGGGAUUCACAUAAACCUUAGUUGGUUCAACUCGAGGAAGAUUGGAAGACGAUUGUGCAGGUGCAGAAGAAGUUCCCACCCCAAAUUUCUUUAAUUUUGCUAGCUUGCGAGACAUCAUCAGCAAGAAAGCUUUUUCUUCAUCUUAUCUGAAAAGUAUUACAAAUGACAAUCAUAAAAAACAAUCACGAAAGCUUACCGAAUACUCUAGAGCAUAGAGACUUGGAACCCAUAAGCCCGAUGAGGACGCGUGACGAGGUCUUUCGGGGUAACUGAUCUAACUGGUUGAUGCUAUCCACUUCGGGAGUAAGAAUAAAUUUCGGACGGGAAAUUACUUUCUUUGGAUGUUCGGUCCAAUAAAAUGGAAACUUUGGUCGACCAUCGUUCAUGUAGAAGCUGGAUCGGUUUUCCUUGAUUGCUAUUUUGCAAAAUCUAGUCUUGAACUCUUUAUAAGAGGAAUUGAACAGAGUAAACAAUUGUUUACCCUUCACGGGGGAUAGAGAAAUCUAAGAUUUAUUCUAAGAUUUAUUCGACUGAGGGAUAGCACGAAAAAAGUACAGAAAGGCGAACGACCUUAGUGGCAAAGCUAGGGCGGUGGAAACUACGACAAAUGUUUGCAUAUAUCCCCAACCAUUUGGAUGCAGUUGGGUCGGAGCAACGUUCAAAUCGCGCAACACACUCAUUUGAAACUCGAUGAAUGGUAGUCGAACACCCAAAUCCAAAAACAGUGUGGUAUAAAUAUAAAAGAAGUCAGUCCCUCACGUCCAUGACAGGCACACUCAUUGGACCGACAAACCGUCAGAUGAAUAUCAUGGGCAUCUUUAGCAUAAGACACGAUAUCGACCUUACUGGUUAAAUACCCAAGCGAAGCACCAGUAACGUAAUAGGGUGCAUACAAGCCUACCUCGUUCUGAGCCCAGUCCUACCAGUGACAGGAGGCGGCGGGGCGGCGUCCGUCCACUCUCCGGCAGUGUCGAACUCAAGAACAAUGUAUGCCCCUUCAAUUUCCCGGCCACUGGUUUCCGCAGAACCUAGGAUUGAGGAUCCUGCAGAGGUGCUGUGAUGAUGUGUCUCGUCAGCAUACCCCUGACCCUUGCCGGCAACCUCGUCGAAAGAGAAAGACGAAGACAACUAAAUAAAGAUUUCUGAAUAACUGAAAGAUGAAGAAGCAAAAGGAGCCAACUGGUUAUGGGGAAGAAAGAUUCAUUUAUAUCAUGUAAAAACAUGUUUCUGAGAACAAAUCGUGGCCAUUCAUUGAGACAAAAUUAGACGGCUAGGGAUGCGAGACCCUUCGUAUUUGCAGAGCACGAAUCCCGCUACUACACGUGCCUUCCUUUUCCACAACUGUUCAUUUCAAACCCUUCGUGUCCAUUAGGCCUCUCGGGCUUGGGGGGCUUAGGGUAUUGUGGGAAUAUUCGAAAAUGACACGGCCAUGAUUAAUUUCUCUCAUACUUGAUUAUGUAGAAAUUAAUGGCUCCUUUUGCUUCAUCUUUCAAUUAUUCAGAAAUCUUUUUUCAGGUAACUAUGUCUUCAUCUUUCUCUUCCGAUGAGGUCGCCGACGAGGGUCAGGGGUAUGCUGACAAGACACAUCAUCACAGCACCUCUGCAGGAUCCUCAAUCCUAGGUUAUGCUGAAACUAGUGGCCGGGAAACUGAAGGGGCAAACAUUGUUCUUGAGUUCGACACUGCCAAGAGUGGACGAACGCCGCCCCGUCGCCUCCCGUCACUGGGUAUGACUGGGCUCCACACGAGGUAGGCUUGUAUGCACCCUAUUACGUUAUUGGUGUUUCGCUUGAGUAUUUAGCCAGUAGGGUCGAUAUCGUGUCUUCUGCUAAAGCCCAUGAUAUUCGUCUGACGAUUUGUCGGUCCAAUAAGCGUGCUUGUCAUGGAGGGACACAAUACUAACUUCUUUUAUAUUUAUACCACGCUGUUUCGGGAUUUUGGCGUUCGACUACCAUUCACCGAGUUUCAAAUAAGUGUGUUGCGCGAUCUGAACGUUGCUCCGACCCAACUGCAUCCGAAUGGUUGGGAUAUAUGCAGACAUUUGACGUAGUAGCUUUGCCACUGAGCUCGUCCUCCUUUCUGUACUUUUUUCGUGCUAUCCCUCAGUCGAAUAAAUCUUGGAUUUCUCUAUCCCUCGUGAAGGGUAAACAGUUACUGUUUACUCUGUUCAAUUCCUCUUAUAAAGAGUUCAAGACCAGAUUUUGCAAAAUAGCAAUCAAGGAAAACCGACCCAACUUCUACCUGAACGACGGUCGGCCAAAGUUUCCAUUUUAUUGGACCGAACAACCAAAGAAAGUAGUUUCCCGUCCGAAAUCUAUUCUUACUCCCGAAGAACUGGAUACCAUCAGCCAGUUAGAUCAGUUACCCUGAAAGACCUCGUCGCGCGUCCUCAUCGGGCUUAUAGGUUCCAAGUCUCUGUGCUCUAGAGUGAGUAUUCGGUAAGCUUUCGUGAUUGUUUGGUAUGAUAUCCAUUUGUAAUUUACUUGAGUAUCUUCUACUUUUUAGAUAUCUUCGAGAAGAUGGAGAAAAACAAAUUCUUCUUGAUGAUGUCUCGCAAGCAAGCAAAAUUAAAGAAAUAUGGGGUGGGAACUUCUUUUGCACAAUCAUCUUCCAAUCUUCCUUGGGUUGAACCAACUAAGGUUUAUGUGAAUCCCGCUUUCAAGAUAGUUCUGUAUUCAUCUCCUUCCACUACUCCCCCAGUUGUCGCUUCUCCUGAUGAUGUUUCUCUUCAAUAAUGGGAAAAAAGGAAAGCUACAAAAGGUAAGUCAGUAUCUUCGGGCAAAAAGAAGGGAAGAACUCACGAAGGCCCUUUGUUGGUAGGGCCGUUCGACCACAAUGUGAACUUGGCGGAUCGCCUGGAAUACCGCCUUAAUUCAGCAGAGAAAAAACUUUUUCACGGGAUGACCACUGGUGAAGUAGUGAAUAUGGCCUACGAGCUAAACGUUCGAGCUAACUUAUAUUUAGCCUAUGCAGCUGGUUCUACUAAUUCCAUUAUUGUCGAGGAGUUGGAAUUGGCUCGGCUGGAUUUAGAGAAAGCUCAAAAAUCUAACGAAGAGUUAAACCUGCGCAUAGAAGAGCUUCAAAAGGCUGCUGAGGAAGAGUGGCAGAAGUAUUCUGCAACCUUAGCCAAAGUGCGAAGUGUCGAUCGACAGCUUCAACAGGCCAAUGAGGAAAUGAAGAAGGGCCUGAAGUUGGAUUUGCAGAAUAAUGCUUCGAAAAUAACAGAUUUGACCUGAGAGAGGGAUGCUCUAGCUGCCGCUCAAGAGAAAUUGAUUGCCGAGAAUAAAGCCUUGGGGAAUGAGAUUUGUAACAAACGUUUUAGGGGGUUUGAACAAGGUAUUAUCUCAAUGUUCAAAUUCCCUCCGAUUUCAAUGACUUCGACGUUAUGAAGGAUGUGGUGGACGGGGAAUUAGUUGUUCUUGCCCUUCCCAAGCCUGAAAAGACAUCUCCCCCCAACCUGAUCAGAAUGCCUCCGCUCCUGUUGAGGAAAUUGCUCCUACUAACACUUAAUUUAAAUCGAAUGGAAACUAUAUCGACAUGGAAAAUAUUUGAUGAUAAGGUUAGCCUUUGUUGGGCCCAUUUUUUAAUUAUUAUUAAUUGAUGAUGGAAAAUUAGAAAAGGGGACCUGGGUUGUUUCCAUGUGGCUAGGAACUUUUUUAUCUUUAAUGUAAAGGUCGUUCUAUCCGUACUACUCAUAUUGUAUUUUUAAGGAUGCCCUUAAGAUUGCAAAACUUGUUCUUUAACAAUUCGAACGUCAGUGGGAGUAGCUUUCUAAUUAAACGGAACUUUGGAAUCUCAAUACAUAAUGAGAGUAACUUUUAAUGAAUUGGAACUUUCUAUCAUUGGUCCGAAUUGUAACAAAUUUGGCACUUGGUAUUGAAGUCAUAGAACUUGGGAAUGUUGAAGUAUUAUUGGGUUGACUUGGCCUUUUCUUUUUUUAAAUGCAGGAGCUAUGAACAUGGUGUGACAAGAGUGGUGAAAAUGAGGAUAUUUAGUGGUAGAAACAUGGAAAGGAAGCGGAGGAAUCAAAGCAUGGAUAUGGGUUGAUGGUGGUGUUCGGUAACAAUGGAGAUUAAUGGAGAUUAUUAUAGAAGGCGAAGAUGAUUGUGAUUGAACACGUAUUGGCUUCAAGUUUAAGAUGGAAUAUGAUUAUAGAUUAGAUAGUGAUGGAGAAUGGGAAAGACUCAUGCCACAAUAUCAUAUACAAAUAUCCAUCACAUAGUAGGAAUGUAUUCAUCAGCAAUCAUAUGCAAACAUAGCAGCAUAGUAGUAGCAUCGUAACAAAAGGAUGUUCAAGGGCAGGCAAACAACUCAGUGAAACAUGGAGUGCAAGGCAUUGCUUACCUCUUGGAGAUCCCUUUGCUAUUGUCAACCUUGUGUGCAAUACUUUCUCUUCUAUGUGUGGCUGGCUUUCUUUUGUUCUUCUCCUUCUUUGGCUGACUUUCCUUUUGUUCUUGUAGGUGAGAUAUGACUAUGGUUCCAGGGUUGAAUGAUCUUUGGUGAGGAUAAUGAAGAGAGUGUAAUUGUGAGAGAUGAUUAUUGGAUGUUCUUUUUGUUUUUGUAUAAAAAUGGCUUUUUGAGGUUUUGAUAGUUGGAAGAUGGAUUUUUGUUCUCUAGAUCAGUGGAGUGAACGGUUUCUGUUAAGUAUAUCUUUUUUUGAAGAUGAAGGAGAGGGUGUUUUUUUUUUAAUCAAUUGCUUCAGGCCCUCAUGAGAUAUUGGAGGUGAGGAAAAAAAAUCUGUUUACGCUGCGAUGGUCAGAUAUUGUAGGUGUCCCAGUCCGGACUUCUUACUUUUUCUCUUUUUUGAAUGAAUUUUCAAAUUUUUCCUUUUUGCAUAUGCCUUUCCCGUGCUACCCUUUCUGCUCUUCUUUUCGACGGGUCUCUUUAUCUCUUCUCCAAAUUGAAUUUUCUUUUCUGGUUCCUACACCUUGCGUGAGGAGGCUAAAGCCUGACACUCCUUUGCUUCCUGCUCCAGCCACCUCUGCUGCUUGUCCAUUCCUUUUUCUUCUUAAGGCAAUCAGCUAAAAUAAUUUAGGCUUGAAACCACUGAGCUAAAGAUUUUCACCCAAAAUUUGGUGACACAACUUGAUAGAAAAAGAUUUGAUUUAGAAAAGUUGAUAGUAUUUGAGACAGAGAAGAGCGGACAAAUGCAACAGCUUAUCACGCUUUUCACGCUUUUUUUGUUUUGUUUUUUUGUUAUUUUUUAUAAGUUUCGAUUUUUUUUUUUUGUAAAUAAGGGACUAAAUAAAAUACAGUAAAUUAAACUAAUAUUAAAAUACUAAUAUAAAACGAAAUAAUAUUGUACAUAUAGUAAAAUAUAAAAUAAUAAAAUAAAAUAAAAUAAUAAUAAUAAAGUAAAACAAACAUAAAAUAACAACUAAAAUAAUAAUAAUAAUAAUAUAAUAUAAUAAAGUAAACUAAAGAACUAAACAAUAUAAAAAUAAAAUAAAAUAAAACAAAAUAAAAAAAGACUUAUUUUUCGGGACAAAAUUAGAUGUUGACAAUGAACAAGUGAGAGAGAUGGUUGAGAAUCUUCAUUUUCAGAUAUAGAUUUAGGAAUAGAGUAUAGGAUUAUCAUUUGAUGGAACUGACAUAUGGGAUGGAUUACAAGGACAAAGACAUAUUUUGAAGUGCAAGACUCUGUAGAAAAGGUGAAGGUCCGAUUGGCCAAAGACAUAUUUUGAAAUGCAAAACUCUAUAGAAAAGGUGAAGGUCCGAUUGAUUGGCCAAACUGAGUAUGGAAGGGGCAACCAUUCAUUGGUUCAAUCUUUUACAAGAAGCAGAAGUGGAAUUGUCGUGGUUCAAUCUUCUACAAGUCCGGAUUGUCUUUUCAAAUCCAUAUUUUUCUCGUCCAUUCAUCAACAAAAAUACUUGUAACUUCCAGUUGAUAAUUAAUAAUACUAAUAAUUAUUCAAAUGUAUUUCCCUUUUUUCCCUCUCACUGGUUAAGAAAAAUUCUAUCAAAUUGGUGUGUAUCCAAGUAAAAUGUAUCAAAUUAAAUAUAUAUGUUUUUAAUUUGUUAACUAUGUAACCCUUUUGUUUAAAAUGCUGCUGUUUUAAGUUUGUUUUCUUACAUUUAUUUAAUAUAAGAAUAAAAUAAUUGAGAGAAUAAAUUUUUAUAUUUUUUCAAGUGGAAAAUACAAAAUAAAAAAAUAAUAUCAAAUAAAUAUAAAAAAUUUACGUAUGUUAAAAUAUUAUUAUUAUUUUUUUUUUAUAAUUUGAAAGAGUGCAUAAAGUAAAAACUUUCUUUCUCCACUUGAGGCCCAUAUUCAAAUAUCGUUUUCUUUGUUAUGGUUUUUAUAAAAAAUGUUAUUUUUUAAAGAUUCCUUGGUUAAGCCACUAGUCCUAUAUAUUUUACUCACGUUUUCAAGUUUUUGAGAUUCAGAGCGUUAAAACCAGCGCCAACAUGGCAAAAGAACAAAUCUUUAUCAUAAGAAAUGAUUAUGAACAAAAGAUGUGCAUUUAACCUUGAAUAUCAUCCUGGUUCGAUGCUUUCUUGAGGAAUUCAAGAACGGCUGUGUCGUCAAUCUGAACUGCGAGAGGUAGAAAGCAAGUGAAAGAAAGAGAUAUAUGAAGUAUAAGGUUUUGUUAACUUGGUCUUACGAGUAAUAACAUGGUAGAAGAAGCUUUGGGACUUGAUCAUAUUGAGAAUCCUUCGAUUCUCUUAACUGUCUUGCUAAGACAGUCUUUCACUGUUUGUUAAACAGUGGUUAGUUGUUAGGUUUUCGGUUUUCUUAUUCUUCCCCUGGAAAUCUAUAUAAACAGACUUCCUCUCCCCUUUUCCCUUUAUCAGAAACAAUUUUACAUUGCAUUUUCGUAUGUUCAUUCAAAUAAUAAAAGGAGAAGUUUUUCAUACUCACCUUGUCACGAUCUUCAUUUCUCUCUUCUACGUCGACGGCAACCGCCGCCGUGCCGGAGCUCUGCCGGCCACCGUCUUCCUUCUCUCUGUGUCUGGAAGUAUCUCUCUCUAACUCUGCCUUCAUCCUCAG
Molecule: long non-coding RNA, 9691 nt
Filed under: Vigna radiata
Lineage: Eukaryota; Viridiplantae; Streptophyta; Magnoliopsida; Fabales; Fabaceae
Description: long non-coding RNA (VRAD_LNC001395)
Source: RNAcentral